Mauremys mutica (yellowpond turtle) is the source of this 325-nucleotide long non-coding RNA. RefSeq lists it as uncharacterized. The transcript has 3 exons. Lineage: Eukaryota; Metazoa; Chordata; Testudines; Geoemydidae. The record is from RefSeq and is a predicted model, not a curated record.
UGGUUUCUUUUCCAGAGAAUAACCCUGGGGUCUUUGGUGGCCUUUCCUUUUAACUUUUGGGAAGAGGAAACAGCAAGCUGGGAAAGCACAAGCAAUAUAACACAUCUCACUGCAAUCUCAGAAUUGGAAGUGGGGCAGAAGCAGAGAGGCAGCCAAACUAACGUGGUGGAGCUGGAUUGAGUAUGAAGGAGAAGGACUGAGGUGUUUCUUCUAUUCCCAGACUGGGAAAGAAAACAAAUGUUGAUAUCAGGAGAGACAUGGCCAAAGGAUAAUCAGAGAUGACACUGGGAUCAGACAUGUUUUGGGAAGAAACAAGAAACCAAGG